This 1033-nucleotide long non-coding RNA is filed under the name Canis lupus familiaris (dog). RNAcentral's name for it is "lncRNA (ENSCAFG00845005778.1)". Lineage: Eukaryota; Metazoa; Chordata; Mammalia; Carnivora; Canidae. The record is from RNAcentral.
GACACAGGCUCUAGAGUCAGACCACUUAGGAUUGAGAUCCAGCUCUGCCACCUGCCAGCUGAAUGGCCUUUGAAGAUCUUGCAGGUUUCCUCCCUUGUGAAUAUGAAUAUUAAUAGUACCUCAUUUAUUGAGUUGCUAUGACACACAAGUGGCCUAAUACAUGGUAAGCCCUUAGAUCCCCGCCUGGCCCCAGUUAGUACAAAAUUCUUGGCUAUCAUUAUUAUUGCUGUUGUUGUUAUGGGUGCCAACUUGUCAUCCUGAAAGAGUGUCCCAGUUUUAACUCCCACAAGCAUUGUAUGAGAGCAUUUAUUUCCACACACCUUUGUCACGCUGGGUAUUAUCAUUCCUUUUAUUAUUUCACAUUUGCCAAACUGAUAAGCAAACUUGUUGCUUUAAUCUUACUUCUUUGAUUACUAGUUAUAAACAUAUUUUUGAUGUCUUGGAAUUUACUUAUUCAUUAGUGAAUUUCCUACGCAUUAUUUCUUUUGUUUUGGGUAAACUGCUCAUCUUUUUCUUUAUGGAUUUCUUUAAUAUAUUAAUAAUGCAUGUUAACCUUUGCUGGUUAUAUAUGUUGUAAAUGUAUUUUUUUCCAGCUUUCUGUAUGCUAUUUAAUUUUGUUCCUACUUGUAGACACAGAAAUUGUAUUUUUUUGUUGUUCUUGCCUAUUAUGCUUGUACACUGAAAAGACUACCAUGAGAUAAGUUGCCUGUAUUUUUCCAAGUUAAAAAAAUUUUUUUUUUUACUUUAACUUUUGAAUUCAAAUGAAAUUAAUUUGGAAUUUCUGUAGUUAAUUUUCCCACUUUUUUGUUUAAUUAUUUAUCAAUUAAUUAUUAUAGACUAAAUUAUAUAUUUUGGUUUGUCCUUUGGCUGUUUAUUCUUUGCCAUUAAUCUCUCUCUUUUCCUAUGUUUGUAUUUUAAAUUUUUUUGUUGAUACAAGUCCACUUUUCACUAAUUUUUUAGAAAUAUUUUCUUGGGGGGUGGGGGUGACUGGGUGAUGGGCACUGAGGUGGGCACUUGACGGGAUGAGCACUGG